GGCUCAGAUUGAACGCUGGCGGCAUGCCUUACACAUGCAAGUCGAACGGUAACAGGUCUUCGGAUGCUGACGAGUGGCGAACGGGUGAGUAAUACAUCGGAACGUGCCCGAGAGUGGGGGAUAACGGAGCGAAAGCUUUGCUAAUACCGCAUACGAUCUACGGAUGAAAGCAGGGGACCGCAAGGCCUUGCGCUCAUGGAGCGGCCGAUGGCAGAUUAGGUAGUUGGUGGGAUAAAAGCUUACCAAGCCGACGAUCUGUAGCUGGUCUGAGAGGACGACCAGCCACACUGGAACUGAGACACGGUCCAGACUCCUACGGGAGGCAGCAGUGGGGAAUUUUGGACAAUGGACGCAAGUCUGAUCCAGCCAUUCCGCGUGCAGGACGAAGGCCUUCGGGUUGUAAACUGCUUUUGUACAGAACGAAAAGGUCUCUAUUAAUACUAGGGGCUCAUGACGGUACUGUAAGAAUAAGCACCGGCUAACUACGUG
This 489-nucleotide ribosomal RNA is filed under the name uncultured bacterium. RNAcentral's name for it is "bacterial SSU rRNA". It matches the Rfam family "Bacterial small subunit ribosomal RNA", at positions 21 to 507 of the family's 1533-position model. The record is from RNAcentral.